GCUGGCAUAUGAAACAGCAAUGAGAUUCAGAGAAAAUAUACCUUAAAAUACACCUGAUAGUGAGUUCUACUUUUAAGGUAUGCGCAAUUUUUCGUUUAAGUGGAGUAACAAAGCAAUCCCUAAGAAAUGAAUGUGACAAGGUCACUAUGUUCUAUGUUGUACUUCCCAAUAGUUGAUGGAAAUCAACGGCAACGCACAUAAUGAAUGUAUCAUUUGAAAUUUCAUAUUUUGGCUAAAGAAGAGGUGAAGCAUGCCAUACAUGUUACUGCAAAUAAAUAGAGGAGCACUUCCAAUUG
RNAcentral lists this long non-coding RNA (296 nucleotides) under Hordeum vulgare. RNAcentral describes it as "long non-coding RNA (HVUL_LNC002280)". Lineage: Eukaryota; Viridiplantae; Streptophyta; Magnoliopsida; Poales; Poaceae. The record is from RNAcentral.